GAAAUGCGAUAAGUAAUGUGAAUUGCAGAAUUCAGUGAAUCAUCGAAUCUUUGAACGCACAUUGCGCUCGCCAGUAUUCUGGCGAGCAUGCCUGUUCGAGCGUCAUUUCAACCAUCAAGCUCUGCUUGCGUUGGGGAUCCGCGGCUGCCCGCGGUCCCUCAAAAACAGUGGCGGGCUCGCUAGUCACACCGAGCGUAUUAACUCUACAUCGCUAUGGUCGUGCGGCGGGUUCUUGCCGUAAAACCCCCAAUUUCUAAGGUUGACCUCGGAUCAGGUAGGAAUACCCGCUGAACUUAAGC
RNAcentral lists this unclassified non-coding RNA (299 nucleotides) under plant metagenome. Its description in RNAcentral is "partial contains 5.8S ribosomal RNA, internal transcribed spacer 2, and large subunit ribosomal RNA". The stretch from base 1 to 105 matches the Rfam family "5.8S ribosomal RNA", at positions 50 to 154 of the family's 154-position model. The record is from RNAcentral.